UCCGCCAUUGCUUGCCCCUUUCUAUCUCCCACCUACAAUCCUCAUCAGAACCCUUCCCAAAGCGAUCAUUUCUCUCUCUAUCUCGCUCACCUCUUUCUCUCGACACAUCGGAGCUCCCAUUCCACUCCUUCCGUUCUCUCCCUCUAUUUUGCUUCUACUGAUCCGAACCUGAUGAAUCGCUAUCGUCUUCCGAUCGACGAUUGUUC
This 206-nucleotide long non-coding RNA is filed under the name Actinidia chinensis (golden kiwifruit). RNAcentral's name for it is "long non-coding RNA (ACHI_LNC006039)". The record is from RNAcentral. Lineage: Eukaryota; Viridiplantae; Streptophyta; Magnoliopsida; Ericales; Actinidiaceae.